UCCUACGGGACGCAGCAGUGAGGAAUAUUGGUCAAUGGGCGGGAGCCUGAACCAGCCAAGUCGCGUGAGGGAAGACGGUCCUAUGGAUUGUAAACCUCUUUAGGCGGGGAGCAAUGCCGGGCACGUGUGCCCGGAGGGAGAGUACCCGCAGAAUAAGCAUCGGCUAACUCCGUACCAGCAGCCGCGGUAAUACGGAGGAUGCGAGCGUUAUCCGGAUUUAUUGGGUUUAAAGGGUGCGUAGGCGGAUUUUUAAGUCAGCGGUAAAAUGUCCGGGCUCAACCCCGCCCAGCCGUCGGAACUGCCGG
This 305-nucleotide ribosomal RNA is filed under the name uncultured bacterium. Its description in RNAcentral is "bacterial SSU rRNA". It matches the Rfam family "Bacterial small subunit ribosomal RNA", at positions 337 to 639 of the family's 1533-position model. The record is from RNAcentral.